CCUACGGGUGGCAGCAGUGGGGAAUAUUGCGCAAUGGGCGAAAGCCUGACGCAGCGAAGCCGCGUGAGGGAAGAAGGCCUUAGGAUCGGAAACCCCUGUCAGCAGGGAAGAAGCAAGACGGUACCUGACCAAGAAGCACCGGCUAACUACGAGGCAGCAGCCGCGGCAAAACGUAGGGGGCAAGCGGUAUACCGAUUUACUGGGUGUAAAGGGGACGUAGACGGCAAGGCAAGGCUGGCGGUAAAGGCGGGGGCCCCACCCCUGUACUGCUCUGGAAACUGUCCGGCUGGAGUGCAGGAGAGGUAAGUGGAAUGCCUAGUGUAGCGGUGAAAUGCGUAGAUAUUAGGAGGAACACCAGUGGCGAAGGCGGCUUACUGGACUGUAACUGACGUUGAGGCUCGAAAGCGUGGGGAGCAAACAGGAUUAGAUACCCCUGUAGUC
This 441-nucleotide ribosomal RNA is filed under the name uncultured bacterium. RNAcentral's name for it is "partial 16S ribosomal RNA". It matches the Rfam family "Bacterial small subunit ribosomal RNA", at positions 338 to 795 of the family's 1533-position model. The record is from RNAcentral.